This 468-nucleotide ribosomal RNA is filed under the name uncultured bacterium. Its description in RNAcentral is "partial 16S ribosomal RNA". It matches the Rfam family "Bacterial small subunit ribosomal RNA", at positions 28 to 507 of the family's 1533-position model. The record is from RNAcentral.
GACGAACGCUGGCGGCGUGCUUAACACAUGCAAGUCGAACGGAAAGGCCCUGCUUUUGUGGGGUGCUCGAGUGGCGAACGGGUGAGUAACACGUGAGUAACCUGCCCUUGACUUUGGGAUAACUUCAGGAAACUGGGGCUAAUACCGGAUAGGAGCUCCUGCUGCUUGGUGGGGGUUGGAAAGUUUCGGCGGUUGGGGAUGGACUCGCGGCUUAUCAGCUUGUUGGUGGGGUAGUGGCUUACCAAGGCUUUGACGGGUAGCCGGCCUGAGAGGGUGACCGGCCACAUUGGGACUGAGAUACGGCCCAGACUCCUACGGGAGGCAGCAGUGGGGAAUAUUGCACAAUGGGCGGAAGCCUGAUGCAGCAACGCCGCGUGCGGGAUGACGGCCUUCGGGUUGUAAACCGCUUUCGCCUGUGACGAAGCGUGAGUGACGGUAAUAGGUAAAGAAGCACCGGCUAACUACGUG